This 240-nucleotide unclassified non-coding RNA is filed under the name Hevea brasiliensis (rubber tree). Lineage: Eukaryota; Viridiplantae; Streptophyta; Magnoliopsida; Malpighiales; Euphorbiaceae. The record is from RNAcentral.
GAAGAAACAGAGUUCGGAGGAACUCUCUCAAUCCAUUUUCAUGGCGGUAGCUACUUUCUUUCCUUCUCAAACUUCAUACAACAAUCGCCAUUUGCUUUCUCGUGACAUUAGAUUUCGGUCUCCUCUUCGUUUGUCCACUCGUCGUUCUUUCUUCUCUACUAUUCGGGCGAGCUCGACGCUCGUUCUUGAGUCGGAUUUAGGCAUUCAACAGGAUCAGAAUUCGAAAAUUGACGUGUUUUC